UAAUGACACUCGUCAUGCACUGCCAGUAU
RNAcentral lists this non-coding RNA (29 nucleotides) under Rattus norvegicus (Norway rat). Lineage: Eukaryota; Metazoa; Chordata; Mammalia; Rodentia; Muridae. The record is from RNAcentral.